UUGGUGCUACGAGGGGCUACAUGCCCCAUAAAAUGCAAUUGCGCCCUCCAUUAUUAUAAACAUAUUCGAUUCCCCCAUGUCAGUUACAAUGGUAGAAAUUAGGAGGUAAGUCAUAACUCAGAGGAAAACUCCUUUUAAUGCUAAUCACUUGGGUUGGUUGCAGCAAAGAAUUGUCUCGAGAAGAAUGUAUGCUAUCAAUCAUGUUCACACCACUCUGAAGUGCUGAAAACUAAGUAUACUAUUAUUGACAAACAUUGCUGAUGAAAUAUUAGAAUGAUUAAGCGCAGCAAAUUUUUGAAACCACUCUAACCCUGAACUUCAUGACGUGGGUGGAUAGAUUGCCUGGCGAUAUUUUUGUAUCAGUGAUAUUCUACAGCUAUUAUAUAGAGAAACUUGAGUAACAGAUAUUUAUAGCUUUUAAUGAUGAAUGCUUCAUUUGCAAGACUCUGCUUACUGAUAGUUAUUGUGAUGCUUAGGUUGGGGGGCUAGGCAUUUCCCAGGGG
Molecule: small RNA, 503 nt
Filed under: Histoplasma capsulatum var. duboisii H88
Lineage: Eukaryota; Fungi; Ascomycota; Eurotiomycetes; Onygenales; Ajellomycetaceae
Description: Histoplasma capsulatum H88 hypothetical RNA
Source: RNAcentral